GAGGGCAUGGUCGCGUGGUGCGACUGGGUGCUCGAGGCGCUCGAGCGCGGUUGAGCCCGCGCGCGCUCCC
This 70-nucleotide transfer RNA is filed under the name Barrientosiimonas humi. RNAcentral's name for it is "tRNA-Ser(cga)". The record is from RNAcentral. Lineage: Bacteria; Bacillati; Actinomycetota; Actinomycetes; Micrococcales; Dermacoccaceae.